UUUAUCAGUCAGGGGACUUACUUAAACAAGUGAUUUUCUAAAUCACUGAUUCAAGUAACAUUAUUUCCAUAAAGGUUGGAAGUUAGAGUUGUCUUUCUUUAAUAAUCACCUAUUUAAGUAGUACAAAUUAAUCACUAGAAGAAGUGAUUUAAUAUUAGUGUAGCUUUAAAUAUAGAAUACUAAUGAUCCAGGGACUAAUUAUGUUUCUAAACUUAUCAGAAC
RNAcentral lists this long non-coding RNA (222 nucleotides) under Mytilus galloprovincialis (Mediterranean mussel). Lineage: Eukaryota; Metazoa; Mollusca; Bivalvia; Mytilida; Mytilidae. The record is from RNAcentral.